UACGGAGGGUGCAAGCGUUAUCCGGAUUCACUGGGUUUAAAGGGUGCGUAGGUGGAUAUGUAAGUCCGUGGUGAAAUCUCUAAGCUUAACUUAGAAACUGCCCUGGAUACUAUAUGUCUUGAAUGUUGUGGAGGUUAGCGGAAUAUGUCAUGUAGCGGUGAAAUGCAUAGAUAUGACAUAGAACACCAAUUGCGAAGGCAGCUGGCUACCCAACUAUUGACACUGAGGCACGAAAGCGUGGGGAUCAAACAGG
This 253-nucleotide ribosomal RNA is filed under the name uncultured bacterium. RNAcentral's name for it is "partial 16S ribosomal RNA". It matches the Rfam family "Bacterial small subunit ribosomal RNA", at positions 524 to 776 of the family's 1533-position model. The record is from RNAcentral.